Molecule: ribosomal RNA, 429 nt
Filed under: Gemmatimonadota bacterium
Lineage: Bacteria; Pseudomonadati; Gemmatimonadota
Description: Gemmatimonadetes bacterium partial 16S ribosomal RNA
Rfam family: Bacterial small subunit ribosomal RNA
Source: RNAcentral
UAGGGAAUCUUCGGCAAUGGACGAAAGUCUGACCGAGCAACGCCGCGUGAGUGAAGAAGGUUUUCGGAUCGUAAAACUCUGUUGUUUGAGAAGAACAAGGAUGUUAGUAACUGAACGUCCCCUGACGGUAUCUAACCAGAAAGCCACGGCUAACUACGUGCCAGCAGCCGCGGUAAUACGUAGGUGGCAAGCGUUGUCCGGAUUUAGUGGGCGUAAAGCGAGCGCAGGCGGUUUCUUAAGUCUGAUGUGAAAGCCCCCGGCUCAACCGGGGAGGGUCAUUAGAAACUGGGAGACUUGAGUGCAGAAGAGGAGAGUGUAAUUCCAUGUGUAGCGGUGAAGUGCGUAGAUAUAUGGAGAAACACCAGUGGCGAAGGCGGCUCUCUGGUCUGUAACUGACGCUGAGGCUCGAAAGCGUGGGGAGCAAACAGG